RNAcentral lists this long non-coding RNA (1462 nucleotides) under Nicotiana tabacum (common tobacco). RNAcentral describes it as "long non-coding RNA (NTAB_LNC002236)". The record is from RNAcentral. Lineage: Eukaryota; Viridiplantae; Streptophyta; Magnoliopsida; Solanales; Solanaceae.
UUAGAAACAACUAAACGGGAAACAUGGGGAAAGCAGAAAAAGUUGCAUUAAAGAGAAACAUAGCUUUGAGCCUUCAAAAACAAAUACAGACCAAGCUCGGCAGAAGCAAAACGGACAGAGUUGAUCAAAAGCAACGACAAAGUGGGUUUACUUUGUUCUAACAAAGGGAUUUACAGAGAAGGGGAACAAGGUAGGUAAAUUUUUGGAACUUAAUUCAUAGAUUCGAUUCAUAAAUUCCAUGGCUAUAGAGAUGGGGUUGAGAAUUAGUUGAACAAUUAAAAUUAAUGAAUUAAUGGAAUUCAUGAAAAUUUUCAUGAAUCGGUACUAUAGGCUUAGGGUAUAAACUUAUAUAUAUUCUGUAUAUGCCAGAAAAAAAUCAAUGUAAUUUUGAUAGCAGUGAGUUGGGAUACUGAAAUAGGUCUUGAUAUUUCAAGUAGAAUAAGAGAGAUUUGUUGGGUUAUUAUAAUUCGACGAAUUAAGAGCCAAACACUUAAACUCUUAGGAUUGAGCAUUCUAAAUUGGCUACGAAUUAGCCUAAACAUGGAAAUUAACAUGAGAACGAUAUCAUGUCAUUAUAGAUUGAUUGGAGGAAUUUGUAUGAAUUGCUUGAGGUGAAGCAUUUAGUAUUUCGGCACGAGUACGGUGAGUAGUAACCGUACCUCAAUUUGUAUUUUUACAACUAGCAUGAUUUACAUAUAAUUUUAAUAUGAACAUGUUACUAACUUAUUUGAAUUUGCAUGUGGGACAAGUCCUUUACUCGAUGUGAUACUACUAUAUUUAUUUUAGACGAUUACAAUUAUUCUGAAUAUUCUCAUUGUUACUGAAUACGUUUUACCAUUACUUGAGCUAAGAUUUACCGUUAUCGAAAAGAAAUUAUAUGAUUUAAUAAGAACCAAAAAUCCUUAUAUUAUUUUAAAAAGUUUCUACGAGUAUAUACGGAUUACAGAGACAAGUAUAAAUGGGAGUAGACAUUGAAGAAUCUCAUAGCUAACGGCGGGUUCGUUAGACCUGGUGCACCUUGUAUUUACCGAUUACCGUUAUAACCCUCGCUAGUGGGAAGGUAGAACUAGCAUAUCGUUACCGAUUUUCCUCGAGUAGGGGCUACUGUUAUAUAUGACUUCUUGCAAAGAAGUCCACAGUUAUACCGAUUAGACGAUCUGUUCAUUGAAACCUCCCAAAAUGUGAAUACUGAUAUUAUACAGUGGUUACCGAGCUUAUUACUGAAUUAUUAAUUAUAUUAUACUACAAGAAAAGCAUGAUGAGAUUGAAAAUUAUUUAUUGUUUCUGAAAGGGCAUUUUUAUGUUAUUUUCUCUUUGAGAUACAAGCAUGUUUCUGACUUGUCCCCCAAAUAAAAACAAUUAUGGUUAAAUGUUAUUACUCACUGAGCUAGCAACUCAUUCCCCGCUAAUUUUUUUUUACAGAGACAACAAUUGACGUAGGCGAGGAUUUCGUAAAUUAGAG